CAUCCCUGGUAUCAGGAAAAAACAUUCAUCUGGUGGAUGAAAUGGAGCAAAAACUAGCAAAUGGAACUGAACACAGGCAAAAAGGUGUGAGUGAAAGAAGGCACCCAAGCAUCAUAGGUGCUCCUGGAGCUGGUGUCUUUGCAGGAUGGAUGUGAAUUUGUCAGUUGGUUUUACAUUGUGGAGUAACCUGGACUAAGGGAAAGUCUUACAGCCCUGGAUCAGUAGGUGAAAACAAAGCUAAGCAAUCUAAUUACAGUUUAAAAAUUAACACCUCCGUAGCGAUUCGGAUAAUUUUGGAUGAGAUGAUUCUACAGGCCUUAUUCUUGGGAGGAAGAGGACAGAAAACAGCCACAGAACGAUUUGGUCAUGCACAUCCUGAAGAAGGAAAGAUUUAAAACAGUGAAGGUAUUGAUUGUAUGAAAGGAGUAAAAGGAGAACCUUGAAUGAAUUCUUUCUUCCUUACAUGGACAUUAAAUACAUU
Long non-coding RNA from Rhineura floridana, 481 nucleotides. RefSeq lists it as uncharacterized. The transcript is spliced from 3 exons. The record is from RefSeq and is a predicted model, not a curated record. Lineage: Eukaryota; Metazoa; Chordata; Lepidosauria; Squamata; Rhineuridae.